Molecule: ribosomal RNA, 468 nt
Filed under: uncultured bacterium
Lineage: Bacteria
Description: partial 16S ribosomal RNA
Rfam family: Bacterial small subunit ribosomal RNA
Source: RNAcentral
GACGAACGCUGGCGGCGUGCUUAAUACAUGCAAGUCGAACGGACAGGCCCUGCUCUUGUUGGUUGGUCGUUAGGCGAACAGGUGAGUAACACGCGUGUAUCCUGUCCUUGUCUUUGGGAUAACUUUUGGAGACACGGGCUAAUAUCGGAUAGAAGCUCUUGCUGCGUGGUGGGGGUUGGAAAGAUUCGGCGGUGGGGGAUGGACUCGCGGCUUAUCAGCUGGAUGGUGGGGUUGUGGCUUACCAAGGCUUUGACGGGUAGCCGGCCUGAGAGGGUGGCCGGCCACAUUGGGACUGAGAUACGGCCCAGACUCCUACGGGAGGCAGCAGUGGGGAAUAUUGCACAAUGGGCGGAAGCCUGAUGCAGCAACGCCGCGUGCGGGAUGACGGCCUUCGGGUUGUAAACCGCUUUCGCCUGUGACGAAGCGUGAGUGACGGUAAUGGGUAAAGAAGCACCGGCUAACUACGUG